This 276-nucleotide unclassified non-coding RNA is filed under the name Glomus sp. RNAcentral describes it as "partial contains 5.8S ribosomal RNA and internal transcribed spacer 2". The stretch from base 1 to 71 matches the Rfam family "5.8S ribosomal RNA", at positions 84 to 154 of the family's 154-position model. The record is from RNAcentral. Lineage: Eukaryota; Fungi; Glomeromycota; Glomeromycetes; Glomerales; Glomeraceae.
GUGAAUCAUCAAAUCUUUGAACGCAAAUUGCACUUUCUGGUAUUCCGGGAAGUAUGCCUGUUUGAGGAUCAUUUAAAUAAAAAUCGGUGUUGUUGCUGCUUUUCUUGGUGACGCGUCGGAAUUGAUUUGUCUUACCUUCUGUUAAUUUACUUAAAAGUUUGCAUUAGUUUCUAACGUAUUUAAAUUUCUUACGUACUUUUAAGAUAUCGAAUACUUUAUUAAGUUCGGUCAUCCUCAUAAGUCGCACCUAUAAGUUUUCAUUAAAUGACCUCACAU